AGUCCACGCCGUAAACGAUGAGUGCUAGGUGUUAGGGGGUUUCCGCCCCUUAGUGCUGAAGUUAACGCAUUAAGCACUCCGCCUGGGGAGUACGGCCGCAAGGCUGAAACUCAAAAGAAUUGACGGGGGCCCGCACAAGCGGUGGAGCAUGUGGUUUAAUUCGAAGCAACGCGAAGAACCUUACCAGGUCUUGACAUCCUCUGACAACCCUAGAGAUAGGGCUUUCCCUUCGGGGACAGAGUGACAGGUGGUGCAUGGUUGUCGUCAGCUCGUGUCGUGAGAUGUUGGGUUAAGUCCCGCAACGAGCGCAACCCUUGUCCUUAGUUGCCAGCAUUCAGUUGGGCACUCUAAGGAGACUGCCGGUGACAAACCGGAGGAAGGUGGGGAUGACGUCAAAUCAUCAUGCCCCUUAUGACCUGGGCUACACACGUGCUACAAUGGAUGGUACAAAGGGCAGCAAAACCGCGAGGUCGAGCAAAUCCCAUAAAACCAUUCUCAGUUCGGAUUGCAGGCUGCAACUCGCCUGCAUGAAGCCGGAAUCGCUAGUAAUCGCGAUCAGCUGCCGCGAUGCC
RNAcentral lists this ribosomal RNA (572 nucleotides) under Ornithinibacillus sp. Its description in RNAcentral is "bacterial SSU rRNA". It matches the Rfam family "Bacterial small subunit ribosomal RNA", at positions 792 to 1366 of the family's 1533-position model. Lineage: Bacteria; Bacillati; Bacillota; Bacilli; Caryophanales; Bacillaceae. The record is from RNAcentral.